UUCCAGACUCCUACGGGAGGCAGCAGUGAGGAAUAUUGGUCAAUGGGCGGAAGCCUGAACCAGCCAAGUCGCGUGAGGGAAUAAGGCCCUACGGGUCGUAAACCUCUUUUGCCGGGGAGCAAGGGCGGGGACGUGUCCCGGCCCGGAGAGUACCCGGAGAAAAAGCAUCGGCUAACUCCGUGCCAGCAGCCGCGGUAAUACGGAGGAUCCAAGCGUUAUCCGGAUUUAUUGGGUUUAAAGGGUGCGUAGGCGGAUUGAUAAGUUAGAGGUGAAAUGUCCGAGCCUAACUCGGGAACUGCCUCUAAUACUGUUGAUCUAGAGAGUAGAUGCGGUAGGCGGAAUGUAUGGUGUAGCGGUGAAAUGCUUAGAGAUCAUACAGAACACCGAUUGCGAAGGCAGCUUACCAAUCCAUAUCUGACGUUGAGGCACGAAAGCGUGGGGAGCAAACAGGAUUAGAUACCCGUGUA
RNAcentral lists this ribosomal RNA (467 nucleotides) under uncultured bacterium. RNAcentral describes it as "bacterial SSU rRNA". It matches the Rfam family "Bacterial small subunit ribosomal RNA", at positions 329 to 792 of the family's 1533-position model. The record is from RNAcentral.